GACGAACGCUGGCGGCGUGCUUAACACAUGCAAGUCGAACGGAAAGGCCCUGCUUUUGUGGGGUGCUCGAGUGGCGAACGGGUGAGUAACACGUGAGUAACCUGCCCUUGACUUUGGGAUAACUUCAGGAAACUGGGGCUAAUACCGGAUAGGAGCUCCUGCUGCAUGGUGGGGGUUGGAAAGUUUCGGCGGUUGGGGAUGGACUCGCGGCUUAUCAGCUUGUUGGUGGGGUAGUGGCUUACCAAGGCUUUGACGGGUAGCCGGCCUGAGAGGGUGACCGGCCACAUUGGGACUGAGAGACGGCCCAGACUCCUACGGGAGGCAGCAGGGGGGAAUAUUGCACAAUGGGCGGAAGCCUGAUGCAGCAACGCCGCGUGCGGGAUGACGGCCUUCGGGUUGUAAACCGCUUUCGCCUGUGACGAAGCGGGAGUGACGGUAAUGGGUAAAGAAGCACCGGCUAACUACGUG
Molecule: ribosomal RNA, 468 nt
Filed under: uncultured bacterium
Lineage: Bacteria
Description: partial 16S ribosomal RNA
Rfam family: Bacterial small subunit ribosomal RNA
Source: RNAcentral